CGAACGUUAGCGGCGCGCCUAACACAUGCAAGUCGCACGAGAAAGGGAGCAAUCCCCGGUACAGUGGCGCACGGGUGAGUAACACGUAGAUGACCUUCCCUGGAGUGGUGGAUAACCUGCCGAAAGGCGGGCUAAUACAGCAUGGGACCACAUGGUUUUGACCGAGUGGUGAAAGCGGGCCUCUGUUCACAAGCUCGCGCUCUGGGAUGGGUCUGCGUCCCAUCAGCCAGUUGGUGAGGUAAUGGCUCACCAAGGCAUCGACGGGUAGCUGGUCUGAGAGGAUGACCAGCCACACUGGAACUGAGACACGGUCCAGACUCCUACGGGAGGCAGCAGUGGGGAAUCUUGCGCAAUGGGCGAAAGCCUGACGCAGCGACGCCGCGUGGGUGAUGAAGGCCUUCGGGUUGUAAAGCCCUGUGGGGAGGAACGAACCGUACGGGGGCGAACACCCUCCGUACCUGACGGUACCUCCUUAGCAAGCAUCGGCUAACUCUGUG
RNAcentral lists this ribosomal RNA (497 nucleotides) under uncultured bacterium. Its description in RNAcentral is "bacterial SSU rRNA". It matches the Rfam family "Bacterial small subunit ribosomal RNA", at positions 30 to 507 of the family's 1533-position model. The record is from RNAcentral.